This 450-nucleotide ribosomal RNA is filed under the name uncultured bacterium. RNAcentral's name for it is "bacterial SSU rRNA". It matches the Rfam family "Bacterial small subunit ribosomal RNA", at positions 25 to 518 of the family's 1533-position model. The record is from RNAcentral.
CAGAGCGAACGCUGGCGGCAGGCUUAAUACAUGCAAGUCGAGCGGGCGUAGCAAUACGUCAGCGGCAGACGGGUGAGUAACGCGUGGGAACGUGCCCUUUGGUUCGGAACAACACAGGGAAACUUGUGCUAAUACCGGAUAAGCCCUUACGGGGAAAGAUUUAUCGCCGAAGGAUCGGCCCGCGUCUGAUUAGCUAGUUGGUGAGGUAAUGGCUCACCAAGGCGACGAUCAGUAGCUGGUCUGAGAGGAUGAUCAGCCACACUGGGACUGAGACACGGCCCAGACUCCUACGGGAGGCAGCAGUAGGGAAUAUUGGACAAUGGGGGCAACCCUGAUCCAGCCCAUGCCGCGUGAGUGAUGAAGGCCUUAGGGUUGUAAAGCUCUUUUGUGCGGGAAGAUAAUGACGGUACCGCAAGGAUAAGCCCCGGCUAACUUCGUGCCAGCAGCAGC